ACUUCAUCGGUUAGUACUACAGUCAUGGACCUCGUUUAAAACUUGUACUAUGACUAAUUAGUUUUAUUGAGAAAAUAAUAUGAGUUUGUUGCAGCUGAACACUUGGGACUACCAUACUUGAGUGCAUACCUGGAUUCACUGGACUCAAAUUUUCGCCAUGGGGCAAAUUUUGCGACAGGAGGAUCAACUAUAAGGAGGCAGAAUGAAACCAUGUUUCAGAACGGCAUAAGUCCAUUCUCCCUAGAUAUCCAGACUCUGCACUUUGACCAAUUUCAACUGCGAAGCAAUGACCUGUACAGCCAAGGUCAGUAUUCAGCAUGCAAAAUGAAUUUUGUCAUAAUUUACUACAUGAAAACGUUAAUUUUUCAUUAAUUUGUUCAUUUAUAUUUCUUAAUGAUACUUCAGCUAGAACAGAAUCCAGGAGAAGUAGGUUACCGAGGCCUAUUGACUUCUCGACGGCUCUCUACACAUUUGAUAUAGGCCAAGAUGAUAUAACUCAUGGUUUAAGAAAGCUUGGUGCUCCACAGCUACGAA
RNAcentral lists this long non-coding RNA (534 nucleotides) under Daucus carota (carrot). RNAcentral describes it as "long non-coding RNA (DCAR_LNC004343)". The record is from RNAcentral. Lineage: Eukaryota; Viridiplantae; Streptophyta; Magnoliopsida; Apiales; Apiaceae.